This is a non-coding RNA of Odocoileus virginianus texanus, 332 nucleotides long. The record is from RefSeq and is a predicted model, not a curated record. Lineage: Eukaryota; Metazoa; Chordata; Mammalia; Artiodactyla; Cervidae.
UUAGUGGGUGACUUCUUUCACUUACUGCAGUGUUUUCAGGGUUUAUCCCUGUCGUAUCAGAUAGCAAUAUCUAACUCAUUUUUAUGGCUGAAUAAUAUCUCAUGGUAAAGUUCACAAUGGACAUUUAUCUAUAUCAUCAAGGAUUUCAAUGUGUUGUCCACAUCUGGGCUGAAGAACAAAACUGGCCUCACUUCUCCGAGUUUAAGCUUGCCAUAUUGAAGGCGCUUUGGUGCAAUGGAAAAAGGACCAAACUGGGAAACAGACCAUUUAGACACCAUCUCAUCAACCACCAACCAGAUGUCUAACAAGAAAGAACGUGACCAAAAAGCAUG